GACGAACGCUGGCGGCGUGCUUAACACAUGCAAGUCGAACGGAAAGGCCCUGCUUUUGUGGGGUGCUCGAGUGGCGAACGGGUGAGUAACACGUGAGUAACCUGCCCUUGACUUUGGGAUAACUUCAGGAAACUGGGGCUAAUACCGGAUAGGAGCUCCUGCUGCAUGGUGGGGGUUGGAAAGUUUCGGCGGUUGGGGAUGGACACGCGGCUUAUCAGCUUGUUGGUGGGGUAGUGGCUUACCAAGGCUUUGACGGGUAGCCGGCCUGAGAGGGUGACCGGCCACAUUGGGACUGAGAUACGGCCCAGACUCCUACGGGAGGCAGCAGUGGGGAAUAUUGCACAAUGGGCGGAAGCCUGAUGCAGCAACGCCGCGUGCGGGAUGACGGCCUUCGGGUUGUAAACCGCUUUCGCCUGUGACGAAGCGUGAGUGACGGUAAUGGGUAAAGAAGCACCGGCUAACUACG
RNAcentral lists this ribosomal RNA (466 nucleotides) under uncultured bacterium. Its description in RNAcentral is "partial 16S ribosomal RNA". It matches the Rfam family "Bacterial small subunit ribosomal RNA", at positions 28 to 505 of the family's 1533-position model. The record is from RNAcentral.